This 289-nucleotide small nuclear RNA is filed under the name Marmota marmota marmota (Alpine marmot). RNAcentral describes it as "7SK RNA (ENSMMMG00000021274.1)". It matches the Rfam family "7SK RNA". From Rfam's summary of the family: 7SK was discovered as an abundant small nuclear RNA in the mid-70s but a possible function has only recently been suggested. Two independent studies have found that 7SK RNA binds the CDK9/cyclin T complex (known as elongation factor P-TEFb). The record is from Rfam by way of RNAcentral. Lineage: Eukaryota; Metazoa; Chordata; Mammalia; Rodentia; Sciuridae.
GGAUGUGAGGGCAAUCUGGCCACAACAUCUAUCACCCGCAUUGAUCACCAGGGCCGAUCUGGCUGGCUAGGCGGUUGUCCCUUCCCCUCUCACUACUCCUCGUGCAUCCCUCCUGAACAGUUGAAGAGGACAACCUUCUCCAAUAGAGGAGGACCAUUCCUUAGUCAAGGGUAUAGAGUAGUUGAGCUCCCCUGCUAGAACCUCCAAACACACUCUCAAAAAUCAACUGACCAUAAAUGUAUGGUAUAUUCCUGGCUCAUUUCUACACAUUUUUUCUUCUGCCUGGAAA